This 1307-nucleotide long non-coding RNA is filed under the name Phasianus colchicus (ring-necked pheasant). RNAcentral describes it as "lncRNA (ENSPCLG00000021930.1)". The record is from RNAcentral. Lineage: Eukaryota; Metazoa; Chordata; Aves; Galliformes; Phasianidae.
GUGGGCUAAUUAUUUUCUCUUAAAAUGUUUUUUUUUAGAUCUCCUUUAGAUUACCUGAAUUGUCUGCUGAUGUAGCUUGAAAUAAUCCAUAGGUUUUAAGCUCCUCUUUGGAUCCAGGAUUUAUCUUAAUUCUGUUACUUAGAAGGUUUUACUUUAGUGGAGGUGUGUUACUGUGCUUGAACAAAUGGGCUGAGAAACUGUCUGUGAAAGAGAAAGCAACCGAAGGCAGUGUUAGCUGUAUUUUAUGCUAUUAAAAUUCAUAUUAUAUUGCAAGAAACAUGAGAAUCAAACAGAUUUUUACAACAGUAAUAAUAGCAAUGCUGUUUUGAAAUUUUCAUUGUAAAGAAUCAUUUCAAAAUGACUACCUGAGGCUUAAUUUUCUUUCCAAUAAUGCAGAUGUUUCUGAAUUGCAGUUUGCCAAGUGUGGGAGAUGGGAAAUCCUGUCCUAAAAAGAUACUGUUAGAUGGUCUUUUAGGUUUGAUCCAAGUCAUAGAGUAGCAGAUAAACUGUCUUUAAACAGUGAUUUACAGCAAAAGUUUCACAAAAACUGGCAGGAUGUUGCAAUAGGGAAGUUGUGGCUAAGCCAUUUCCAGUUUUUUGUGCAGUUUUCUCAAGCAGUCACAUUCCUUCCCAAAAGUUUGCUUUCACUCAUGAAUGCAUUGGAUACCACUGAGAGAAGAUUUGGUAGCUCCACCAUUUUUGUGUGUAUGUUGUCAGGCAAGAUGAAGAUAACGCAUUGUCAAGAGCUGAACUAGCUCCUACUGGUUUAUUAAUACCACCUCCUGGAUCUAUCAACAGCAAGACAGACACUUUUCACACUGGAGAAUUAAAAAAAACAAUCUGCACCUUGUCGGGCCUGCUCACUAGGAAUAGUCACAGAUCUGCAGCCCCUGAUAAUUACUCACAUGGGUCUUCACACUGCCUGCAUUUCCAUUUCAAUUGUUGACAUUGCACAGGACUACCUCAUCUGCCUAAAAAGGUGAGAAAAAGUGAACAAAGUAUGUCAGGCUUAGUAAUUACACCACUGUCACCUCUCACUCCCCCAGCUAUUGGACCCUAUCAGCAAAACUAUGUUCAUCACUCUCCUCUUAACCGUUUCAUUAAAGGGGAAUGAUUAUGUUGAGUGAAUGAGUUGACACUAAGAAUCUGCACCUUCUCAGUAACUGUGAAAACAUUUAGAAUGGAUUUAUAUACCAAGAGCCUAAGUGGAAUGAGAGGGAAAAACUAAAGGCUGGACAAAUUAAUUAAAAAAAAUAAUCUUAAUUGAAAUUAAUCUUGUGUGAGUAGGUGGAAGAAUGGGUUCAAAU